UACGUAGAUGGCAAGCGUUAUCCGGAAUUAUUGGGCGUAAAGCGCGCGCAGGUGGUUUCUUAAGUCUGAUGUGAAAGCCCACGGCUCAACCGUGGAGGGUCAUUGGAAACUGGGAGACUUGAGUGCAGGAGAGGAAAGUGGAAUUCCAAGUGUAGCGGUGAAAUGCGUAGAGAUUUGGAGGAACACCAGUGGGGAAGGCGACUUUUGGGCAUGUAACUGACACUGAGGCGCGAAAGCGUGGGGAGCAAACAGG
This 253-nucleotide ribosomal RNA is filed under the name uncultured bacterium. RNAcentral's name for it is "partial 16S ribosomal RNA". It matches the Rfam family "Bacterial small subunit ribosomal RNA", at positions 524 to 776 of the family's 1533-position model. The record is from RNAcentral.